Molecule: long non-coding RNA, 705 nt
Organism: Hemicordylus capensis (graceful crag lizard)
Lineage: Eukaryota; Metazoa; Chordata; Lepidosauria; Squamata; Cordylidae
Exons: 4
Source: RefSeq, a predicted model, not a curated record
GUGCUGUGUGAGCUGCCUUGCAGAGAGAAGAAAGACCAUUUAUUUUGUUUAUUUAGCCUCAGAUUAUGAAAAAACAGAAGAGGAAGAGGAAGAAGAAGAGUGACCAUGGUAAACUCCAGAGUAGCUGCAUUUGCCAAAUUGUUCAUACAGAAGAGGUAUGAGAUCAAAAUGCCAAGGGAGGAAGGUGUUGGGGAUUGCAGCAACGGAACUGGCAGCCAGCAUGGUGUAAAGAUGGAAGAAGGUCACAUGAAGCCUACAGAGCUAUAAGUGUCAUGUUUGUACCUACCCCUUCUUCAAGCACAGAAAGGAAUAGAGAGCCCAGGGUGGUCUACAUGGCUAUGUUUAUCCCCACAACAACCCUGAGAGGUAGGCUCGGCUGAGACAGAAGUGACUGGCCCAGAGUCACCCACCCAGUGAGUUUCAUGGCUGAGCAGAAGACUGAACUUCAGUCUCCCUGGCCCUCCUAGUCCAACGCUCUGACCACACCAUGUUAAGAAAAGGAUGUGGCCUUUUCAUCCAGGACCAUUAAAAGGUGUUGGGGGGAAGGGGGUUAGUUUUAGUUUUAAAAAUGUUUCUGUAUUUUAUUGUAAUGUUUUGGCUUCUGUGCUUUAAUUGUAAGUUUUACUCACUUGUUGUUUUAUUGUUUUACUUUGAGAGCCUCCCAAAUAACAAUUUACUAUGAGUGGCCAAAAAAUAAAGUUGUUG